RNAcentral lists this ribosomal RNA (278 nucleotides) under uncultured bacterium. RNAcentral describes it as "partial 16S ribosomal RNA". It matches the Rfam family "Bacterial small subunit ribosomal RNA", at positions 29 to 267 of the family's 1533-position model. The record is from RNAcentral.
AACGAACGCUGGCGGCGUGGCUAAGACAUGCAAGUCGAACGAUACGUUGUAGCAAUAUGGCGUAUAGUGGCGGACGGGUGAGUAAUGAAUAGGUAACGUACCCCGGGCACAGGAAUAGCGUCGGGGUCCCGCAAGGGAUCCUUUGCGAAAGUGACGGUAAUACCUGGUGACGUCAUCGGAGGGGCCUCUCUUGAUGAUCAGUAGGGGUGGGGACCUUCGGGCCUAUCGGCCUGGGAGCGGCCUAUUUCCUAUCAGCUUGUUGGUGAGGUAACGGCUCA